This 5541-nucleotide long non-coding RNA is filed under the name Volvox carteri. RNAcentral describes it as "long non-coding RNA (VCAR_LNC003055)". The record is from RNAcentral. Lineage: Eukaryota; Viridiplantae; Chlorophyta; Chlorophyceae; Chlamydomonadales; Volvocaceae.
GGUUAGUCGGUUAAUUACGAUUUCAUUUCCCGCUGCCUGGUUCAAAGCGAGUGCUGCUCGAUGUGGAAAGUAGUUGGACGGGUCGUUGUUGUUGUUGCUGCCGCUGUUGGUUCUGAAGGGCACGUUUGCUGGCCGUGUAUAAGACCCAUCGCUGUAGUGUUGGUAUUGGUAUUGGCAGUAGUGUUGGUAUUAGCAAGGUCAGUAGGUGACAGCGGUGGUGGUGGUGGUGGUGGUGGUAGUGCGGCUGCAUUUGCGCGAGGCCUUGUCGGCGUGUUGUUCCAGGCUGGUCAUUGAGCUGUGCUGUGUUGUGAGUCUACUGUGUGGGUUUUCUUUCCCCACCCGACCCACGAGAGUUGGUGGGUUUCCACCUGGUAGGUUGGGGCGGUGAGUGGGAGUGUGUACGGCGGUGUACGGCGCAUCAUGGCCGGGUGCUGAAUGUGCUCAGUGGAGCCGGGUCUUCGGAAUGAGUCAUAUUGUGUGGUUGGGGGAUGUGUGAUGGUUUGUGUGUGUGGAGGGGAGGGGGUUGCACUGAGUCGGCUCAGUCGGUUGUGCACAUGCCUGGUGUUGGGGAGUGUCUGUUGCUGUCGGGCAGCAGCUGAAGCAUGGUGAUGAUGAUGAUGAUGAAGAUGAGGAUGAGGGUGAGGGUGAGUGGCGUUUUCAGGAUUGCGUGUGGGGUGUGCUGUGGCCGUGGGUUGCUUGUACUGGUUGCCGCGGCAGAAGCGCGGACCGGCAGGGGGGCCUGUCCAUACAUACAUACGUACAUAUAUACAUACGGCUAGGCCGUUGUAGUUGUUGCCAUUGGCGGCGACAUAGCUGCAUAGCAGUAUAGCGGUAGAAUGCAAUACAAUGCAAUAGAGUAAUGACGUGGCCACAGUGGCGGUAGGGACUCGCCUACUCGCAGCUUCAUGGUGUUGGGGUUCAACCGGUAAAUAGCUAAGAGUGUUGCGGCGGUUGGUCGGCUGGUGGUUGGUCGGUAUUACGGCGGCGCGGGGAUCCCUGCCUAGCGACGUGUGUGUAUGUGUGUGUGUGUAUGUGUGUGCGCGCGUGGGUUUAUGUCUCCCCCCUUCGCUCCCCGGGGUUCGGGGCGUGAUGUGCAUGCCGACUUGGCUUCUUUUGCCCCGAGCGCCUUUAUGUCCCCUACAUGUACCGCCGCAUGAGGGCAAUAAAGCAACAACAGCACAACAACAACGCGUGUGCGAAUCAGCUCGUGUAAGGUCUAGUAGGGCGAGAAAAAAGGUCUAGGCCGGCAUGUAAGUAUGUAUGUAUGUAUGUACAUAUGUAUACGUAUGUGUAUGUACGUGUGUGCGUAGAGGGUGUCCACCGCCGUUGAGUGGUUCCCCGCGGCACCAGGGGGGGGGUUGGGGGACUGGGGGGAGGGGGGUCAGUUAAGGGGGUGGGGGGCUGUGGCUAACGUGCUACGAUGCUGUGCGCUCUCGGGGACACCCAAGGGCGGGGGGUUCAAGGCCCAAUUUAAAUUGGGCCCCGCCCCGAAUGCGGUGGUUGGAUAUGGUUGGCUACGGUUGAAGACGGUGUGGGACAGUUGGGGACUGUUGUGACUCAUUCCUGCUAUUCACGCGCGGCUCGCGCAUUGCCGUCGCGCCAUCCUCCUUGCCUUUUCUUUCAUCGUCGUUUGUUUCCCCCCCCACCCGGGGGGAUUUAUAAAUUGUUUUACAAGCACUUGGCUUUUCAAAAAAAGCGGAUUGACGAACAGACGAACGGUAUCAGACACAGGCGCACGGUAACCCCACGGUGUACUUCUUGCUUGGUGGGGGGGGGGAGUGCGUUACAGCUUUACCUCCUGCUGAACUACGGAACUCCGCUCGCCUGGCCCACUCGCUUGCUAUCGUUAUAAUCCCGUUUUGCAGAUUUAAUGAGAUGCGGCCCUUUUGCUGCCGCCUCCUGCCGGGGGUGGAAGGAGAAGGCGCCGGGGGUGCUGCUGCUGGCGAGGUGACGGCUGCUGUGAAUCCGCGCCGGCGCUGCUGCUGCUGCUGGGGUUUGCUGCUGCUGCUGCUGUGUGUGCACUUGUUAGCUAAUGUUUAGUUGUGGAAGGUGCAAAAAGGGGUGUGUUGGGGCUCAGUGAGGUGUGUGAUGUAUGUAUGUAUGUAUAUCUAUGUAUAUGUCGACAGGACUCAGCGAAAUGUUGAACAACGAAAGAAGGAAGGAAGCGGGGGGCUGGAUGCGAUAUGUCGCAGUUGGCUGUCGUUGUUAUCCCUAACGAACAAGACAAACCCCCCCGACAGACAACAGCCUUGCGAGGUGUUUCCUUUCCUCUUGUCUGGAAGAAAUUGCAAACUGAAUAUGUAUGUAGGUAUGUAUGUAGGUAUGUGUUUGUGGGGAGGUGGGGAAGUGGGGAAGUGGAGGGAUGCCAGGGCGGAGGGAAAGACGGCGGGCACAUACAUACAUACAAAGGGACACACGGUCCGUAUCCGUAUCCGCCGCGAGCGCAAGACACUUAUCAUUCGGCACACACUCGCAGGCACCAUGAAAACACACACAACACACACUCGCCAGAGAGAGGUGUGCGCGUGUGCAGGUGCAUCGACAACUCGUACAGCACACUUCGGUUGCAGCACUGUAGGACGACAGACAGCUGUAGGAGCUGAUUGGUUACCGACGUAGGGCCGCUCCGAAACUGUUCCCGCACGAUGCUGUUCAUGGUUCACAUCCUCCUCUCUGACGCGUAGCACACAGGCCGGGACAAAUGCAGGCAGGCAGGCAGGCAGGCUCAAGAAAACACACCACCACACACAUAAGAGGCCACCACACACAUAUAAGCUCCCACCACACGAUAGUUCUUGGACCUGUCCCGAGAGUCCACCGGCAAUGAACCACACAGCACGACAUCACGAGUGAAGAGCCACCCGGUAGGGCCUUCCCCACCCCUCCCUUUCCCCCCUGCCCCCGCCUUGUACACUCUUUCCUUGGCAGCAGCUUUACUCGUUCGUGGCUCGCCGUUCCCCCCCCCCAACGCCCCCUCUCUCUCACGGGCCAGUUUUGCGGUGUAAUUGGGGUAAUUGGGUUCUCCAUUCACGUGGUAGUCACCCACCACCACCCACCACCACCCACCAUCAACCACUUACCCAACGGCCCCCUCCCAACAACCCCUCCGACCUCGUUAGGAAGAGGUUCUCUAGGGUGCCGACAGGGGCCCCAGUGGGGGGGAGAGAGCGAUGACUGCUUUCUGCUGCUACUGCUACUGCGGCGGCGGCGGCAAUGAUGGCAACGACACUGACAGUUACGACAGUUAGUCGCCCGACCGGCAAAUGGCCCUUCAGUUCGUUAGUCAGCCACUGCAGCCGCGGGCCCCAGAGCCGGCUACUGCUGCUGCUACUGCUGCCACCGGUGUAUACCCAAACCCUAAUUCGCUGCCACAAUGGCCAUCAUCAUCAUCAUGCCAUCGUGUACGGUAGCCAGAGGCACGACCAGAAGAAUAGCAUUGGAUGGCAGUACGGCAUUCACGGCAGUACGGCGACUGCGUCGAUCUCCACCCUCGCCCCCAGCGGCAGGUCCUUCACGGCGAAUGUGGCCCGCGCCGGGGGCUGCUCGGUGAAGUACGUGGCGUAGAUGGCGUUGACCUUGGCAAAGUCAGCGAUAUCGGCCUGAUUGGGGAAAGCGGACCGAGGCGUUUGAUUCGAGUUGUGGAUGUGUGUUUUGGCUGAAGGUAUGGGGGUGGGAGAAACACAUCGCGGAUCAUCACCCCGAGCCGGGUAGGGUGAAUUACGCCAACGGCACUGUGGAAUGGGCAAUCAGGGAAAGUCAGGAGGAUUCCGCCCGGUAAAGGACUUAUGGUGUAGGAAAUGAGGGCCAAUUUCUGGGGAGCUCCUUGCGACGCCUGCGUGGACGGACAUCAUUUGAAAAGUACAUGGCUGGAAGGAGACAAGACGACCAGUGCGUGACGGAUGGUGGUCUUGUGGAGCUAGAGAUCCUUAAAAUGGCCCAGAGUUUUGCAGGAAGGGAAGGGAAUAGAACAGCCCGUGAGGAGCCGGGGGAGACGGCGAGCGGCAUUGGGGGGUUGGGAUGUCGGAUGUGGCCUGUCGGCCUCGGGUGGUGCACCCGUGGUAAGCAGACAGGAAGGAAGAUAGUUUCAGGAAGGGAUUGAGGGAGCGUACCAGCAGGAUGGUCGUCUUUACCACGUCCUUGUAGUCGGCGCCAGCGGCCUUGAGGAUGGCACCGAGAUUCUUCAGCACCUGCUCGGUUUGGCCCUCCACGUCUGGCGAUGCGAAGUUCUUCGUUCCUGGCACAAUUCCGAUCUGUCCGGAUACGUACACGGUGUUGCCUGCCUUGAUCGCUUGCGAGUAGGGGCCCAGCGCGGCCGGUGCCUGUUCCGUCGAGAUGACCUGCUUUGCCGACAUGGCCCGGACGGAGACGCUGGUGGUUCGGCUCGUGAAAGCUGGAGCAGCAAACGCAGGGCGUGGUAUGCGCACACUGCCCUUCAGAAGCGCGGAACAAGCAGUGUGGCGCAAGGUGACUGCCAUAGUGCGCAGGUUGUGCAAGUGUACGAAACAACGAAGCUGCCUACGCAGAAAUAAUUAUGUGAAUAUACUGGCCGAUGCAGUUCUUUUCACAAUUGGUUCAUAUUGCCUACUUGCGGCGGAUGAUCUGUCGGAGACCACCGGGUCGGUUCCGCACCACGAUUGUCAAUCCAAAAAGAAUUUAUCAUAUAUUAUGACACACAUGAUAAUAUUGUCCAGCCCGACAACAUGAAUUCAAUAAAGCACCAUCGAACAACGUUAGGCCGCCAAGCUAGCCGGCCUUCAAGGCGAGCGCUUCUAACGCAAUGCCUUCACAAGGCACUUCGCCCGGUAGGCAAAAAAUUACCUUGGCGAUGACGAACAUACUCCAAUUCGGCCUAGUCCUCCAUGCCAUCCCCACUGCGUCGCCACAACGCAGCCCAGCGCGGGUCCCAUCACGGCCCCAGCGGACGUUGUCUAUGAAUGCCUUACCCUGCUUCGACGGCUAGACCUGGAGAGGUGCGACUCCGCGACUCGCGCGCAUCCGAAAUGCGUACGGCGAACACACAUCCCGCAACACAUCACCCCCCAAAACCUGCUGCUACAUCCUCUCUACAUCUCACCACACAUGACAGACUGCCUGGCCUUACCUUUCAGCCGACCCAUAUGCCUUCUUCCUUGUUCGAGUGAGGAUCGGCAGCUUUGCGACCAUGGCGACCUUUCUUUAGCGCAAGGUGUUUUUUUAGGUUUUUUAUCCGGGCAACCCCCACUACCGCUCUUACCUCCUCCUCUCCCUCCUUUCCCCCCGUCCCCUCCCAGACCCGCUGCCUCAGGUGAUUACCAAAACCCACAUAUAGGUGCUCAAUGGGGACCUGAGGGGACCUCAAGCUGUUACCCUCCCACCACUCCCCCCCGUUUGUGGUUCGUCUUUCCCACCAGUCCCACUACUCCCCCUCCCCCACACCCCCUCCUCCUCCUCCACACCUCCCCUUGUAUCCUCUCUGCCUCAAACCCCCCUUCCCACCCUCCUUGUUGCCACCAGCCUGGCUCCCUUCUUCCCCCGCGGCUCCUUCGACCCGGGGGUGCGGCG